Small nuclear RNA from Tupaia belangeri (northern tree shrew), 124 nucleotides. The record is from Ensembl. NCBI's taxonomy places the organism in Eukaryota, Metazoa, Chordata, Mammalia, Scandentia, Tupaiidae.
GUGUUAUAUGAAAGAAGAGAAAGUUAGGAUUCUCCUUGACAAGGAUGGAUGAGGUCCUCUGGCCUCACAACAUGCAUAUGGUUGUCAUCGACACCUACUUCCUGACAUCUAACCACUGGUUUUU